RNAcentral lists this transfer RNA (72 nucleotides) under Camelus bactrianus (Bactrian camel). It matches the Rfam family "tRNA". Rfam says of the family: Transfer RNA (tRNA) molecules are approximately 80 nucleotides in length. Their secondary structure includes four short double-helical elements and three loops (D, anti-codon, and T loops). The record is from Rfam by way of RNAcentral. RNAcentral also lists the same sequence under 3 other names. Lineage: Eukaryota; Metazoa; Chordata; Mammalia; Artiodactyla; Camelidae.
UGAGGUAUAGCUCAGUGGUAGAGUGUGUGCUUAGCAUGCAUGAGGUCUUGGGUUCAAUCCUCAGUACCUCCA